This is a long non-coding RNA of Prionailurus viverrinus (fishing cat), 3586 nucleotides long. RefSeq lists it as uncharacterized. NCBI's taxonomy places the organism in Eukaryota, Metazoa, Chordata, Mammalia, Carnivora, Felidae. The transcript has 2 exons. The record is from RefSeq and is a predicted model, not a curated record.
UCUCCAGCCCUGAUAGGAAGAUGACUCUCCUUCUGGGCGUUAGCCUUUUGCUUUUCUACCGAGGCGUGCUGUGUGACCAAGUGACCCAGAGCCCCCUGUACCAGACAGUGGCAAGCGGCAGUAAGGUGACACUGUUCUGCACUUACCACACAACAUACUCAAACCCGGAUUUAUACUGGUACCGAAUAAGGCCAGAUCGUUCCUUUCAGUUUAUCCUCUACAGGGAUAACACUCGAUCCAAAGAUGCAGAUUUUACUCAGGGUCGUUUUUGGGUGUGGCACAGUCAGUCCCAGAAAACCUUCCACUUGGUGAUCUCGGUGGAGCCUGAAGACAGUGCCACAUACUACUGCGCCAUCUAUCCCCACAGUGUCGCAGGUGCCCAGGAGGUCUGAACAUAAACCCCCAGCACAGCCUGGUUGUAGCUCCCUGGGAUCCUUCUUCCCGGCUAUUUUGUGUUCCAGCCUGGCCUUUGGAGGUGCCCUGACAUUCUGCUGAAUAAUACAAGGGUAGCUCACAUCCAGGAGAGCACCCUGGCUUCAGAUGGAGCAGAGCACCUCCCUACCUUCUGACUCAGUGGGCCGUUGCGGUGGGAGAGUGGGAGAGGUAUGUCUGGGGAAUUCUCAUCUUCGUGUCCCCAGUGCCCAGGUCACUCAUGCCUGAUACGGGGGCCUGUCGCGUAUGUACUCUGAGGAUUGUGAAGAUACCAGAAUGGCCAAGGUACCAUUCAGGAGUGUUUUUAUUUUAGUCUCCAUCAUUUAUCCAUUAUUGUGAAUUGGUCUGUUUUCCUUUUAAGAUUCAAAGUAGACACAAAGUUACUUACUUCAAAAUGUUCCCCCCAGUUCACCUUUUCCCUGCUUCUUCUUGCACAGCCACCUUAUUUUUCUUGAAUGCUCUUUGACACUGCCAUUUCACUUACUUUAUUUGGAGAACAUUUUUCUUCCACGGAGGAGCAUUGAGAUACUCCGAAAAAGCUGUUGGUGAUCCCUAGAACCCCAGCAUCAAGUCCCUGCGUUUGGAGCUCUUUGGUGUCUCCAAGGAAGAUGAUCAUCUCCAGGAGAAUCCAACUGUGUGAUGUCAAAAUAGAUACACCCUGAGCCCUGGGAACUGGUCCCUCUUUCCUUUUUUUUUUUUUUUUUUUUUUUCCGUUGAAUUCUUUGCCUUAAAACAACUAUUCAUUAUGAGAUACAACCUUGAAGAGAGUAGAAGCCCAGGCUAUGAUUUUAUAGGGAAAACACUAGAGCGCAGAGAAGGGAGAGACCUUCAUUCCCAAGGUCAGAGAGCUGGGUAAUAAUAGAGCUCACGUGUGCUGCUGCACUUUUAGGGCUCUCCCUGGCAGCUUCAUCAGUAGGUGCUCUGGCAGCAGUUUAUCUGGGCUUCAAAACAGGUGGGUGAAGAGCAGUCACUAGAGAGAGGAAUGUACAGAACACGGGUGAGGGAGCCAAAGGCUUUGGGCAAAUGUCUCCGCCUCCUGGGUCUCUGUGCUGCCCAUGACUGAGUGUGUGUAGCAAUCUUCUGGAGGACUCCCUCAGGGCUGUUUUGGACUUAAAUGAAGUGCUGUAUGCAAAAGCUCCAGAGAACUAUAAUCCACAAUAUGAUGCCCCCCCCCCCCCCCCCCGAAAACAGCCACAAUCCCCACCUGGCUCUUGCCAUUAAUGUUUUUCUGGAGGCUCCUUUUGGUAGGAGAAAUUCAAGAUCCUGUGAUAAGCUAGGAUUUUUUUUUUUUUUUUGACCACCAAAGUAGAUCAGAGGGUGGCUCAUUUAUAUGCUAACUAUUGGACAAUCCUGAAGUCCAGUCUAGCUGAAAUCAAAUCACCACCUUGUCCUUGUUUUGGGGAUGCUGUUUGUUCUAGAAGGAACUUGGGGCUGGUGCUCUUGGUAACAUGGUUCUGCUCACAGCCACGUCCUGCCUCACUGAAUGACUUUGAAGAAGGUACAUUACCUUUUUGGAAGGGGUAUUUUUUCCAUCUGAAAAAUGAGGAUGUGAUCUUUUUGUUCUUUGCCACUUAUAGAAACAUGCUAAUGUUACCUAAGGUAACAGAUGUGAAUGUUUUGGAAAUAGGCAUUUUUUCUUUACCCACACGAGGUGCAGUUGUGUGGAAUCUUCUAAUGGUUCUUCCCUGGAUGGACCUUCUUAUCCAUGUAGAUUGUCCUAAACCCAUUGACUCAGAGGGCUACUGCCUCCUUUCUUUGCUUUGGGCUGUGAAGACAACAUGGGAGUCUGCAGAUGGCAAUAUCAGGGGGAGUUGGUGAGGGUUGCUCUUUCACUUGUGACCCCAUAAGCCCCCGCUUGACACCCUAGGUAGCACCCUAGGUGCCCAGGAAACCACAAUAGUGGGUUGCAAGGGCUCUGCUACCUGAGUGGGUGCACCUGGGAAAAUGCUGUGGCCUUGCUGACGUGGGGGUAGCAGAGCCCAUCGGCCACAGAGGGGUCAUUGCUGCUGUUUUGCUGUAGCAGCAGCAGCAACAGCCGGAAACCCAGGGCAGGGUCCCUGAGGCAGGAGCCUGCAGGCUUGGGGCUCAGGAAGCUGCGGUGUGACCUACAAGUUCAGUUUGGCUUUUGUCUGCCUAACAGCGAGUUCACAGCACCCACUCUCCCCCUCCCGCGGUGGUCUGUUAUGAGUAAAGCCAGAGGCAAGGCACAUUCGAUGCACUUUAAUAAAUGCAACAGAGACAACACUGAGAAUGGCAGAAAACCAUCAACAACAAGGGGCAGGCAAGAGUCAGCAUCCACUGAAAUCAAAUUCCCUGUGCAUAUGUUGGCAGGCAAAACCCAGUAAAGAUACUCUUUUUACAGCCCAAAUCUAGGAGUCUCAUUCCUCUCCCUCCCUCCAAAAGUGCUUGCACAGUAAGUCGCUUGAAAGCAGGCCCACCUCUCGUUCAUCUUUACACCCUCAGCUCGGUGCCUGGAACUUAGAAGGAGUCAAUUCAUGUUUGUGAAGUCAAUUGAUAAAAGUAAUUUUCUCUGUAUUUUACCCUGAUCUUUGCUAAUAGCUUGGAGAGUAUUUAGAUGAGGCUUUAGAAACCCCAUUGGCUGCAUGAGAAGUCAAAUGUAAUUUUGUUUGUAAAGUACUAAGGAAAGCAGAAAGUGCUUUUGUGGAUGAGAAUGCCAGCUUGAGGCAAACCUAGUGCUGGGCUGAACAGAGCCAUUCCUGUUAGGUGAAGGGCAUCUUCUCUCCAACCCCCAGGGUCUGUUUUCCUCGGGGAGUAUGGAGCUGGGAAUCUGUUGGCUCCCACUUUCUACUUUUGAAGGCAAAGAAAGUUAAGGGAACAAAACACUAUUUUCAAAGUGUAUCUGUUGUAGAAAUAAUAAUAAAAAAAAUGAGUCCUAUAUCCCUUUAUAAAGCAGCAGAUAGAGCAGUUAGGACCAUAACGCCCUACUCCCUAGGACUUGUGUCUUUCCACAAAGCUGGAAAAUGAGCUGGGUUUGUUGCUUUGAUGGUUUGGGUAGCAGCCACUUAAGCAAGACUGGGAUCGGUCACCUUGAAUCACCGAGAAGCCAGAAGUCUAGGAGACAGCUCCUCUGUAGGCUUUUGUGAAGACAUAAUGUGGGAGUUUCAUAAGGCAGCCUUCUGAAGCCAGUCAGCCU